UUAAAAAGUUACCAUUAAAGUUAUACGUGAUAACUCGCGAGCACGAGGUGUCUGCAACAGGACACCCGUGCUUUAACGGCAUAUGUUUCCGCCACACGAGGAAUUUUCAAGAACAACGUUGGCUGUACUUAGUUUACUGGCACACAGAGGAAACAGCUGUACAAUCAGGCUGCAGUUAAGAUUAGUAGCGGAAUCCCAAGCAAUUUUAUUAUAGAAGAUGAAACAACGUUGCAUGUCUUUCACACAACUCUUCGUCGUUGUUUUUUUAUUGUUUGAGGCAACUACAUUAAUAAGGGGAGAAGCGAACACGGACUCCAAGUCCCUUACACCGCAAUUCUUUAUAUUUAAUUCAACAUAUGAAGAAUACAAAUAUAUGUUCUCGGGUUUUCUCAGAGUAAUAGAAAACCUAAAGGCUGGAACUCCGGUGGAUUCAAGCAACUAUAUAUAGAAGUUGUGUUGUUGUUUUGUGAUUUCACUGCAUUUUUUAAAGUAGUUACCUGUGAUUGAAUAAGAUUAAAUGCCAAUGGUGUAAAAUGGAUUCUUUACUCUAUAAGUGCACAAUAUUUAUUACUGAAAAGACAAUCAAUUUCAAUCAAUUAAAUACACGUACCUGGUUAUAA
Molecule: non-coding RNA, 620 nt
Organism: Ciona intestinalis (vase tunicate)
Lineage: Eukaryota; Metazoa; Chordata; Ascidiacea; Phlebobranchia; Cionidae
Source: RefSeq, a predicted model, not a curated record